AGGCUAAUACGUGAACGUAAAACCUGGCUGACCGGCAACGGGAGGUUGGGGGGCGUGCGACAUAUGCAAAAGAUAACUGGGAAUGGGUGCACGUUCAGACCGCCAUCCAAACGGUAGCGCUGGUUCGCCAGUGCGUCCGGGCGGCUCUCGCGUUGUGCUUCUGACCUAUCAACUAGAUGGCAGCGUAAGGGACAUGCUAUGGUGACAACGGUA
RNAcentral lists this ribosomal RNA (213 nucleotides) under Physarum bivalve. RNAcentral's name for it is "partial small subunit ribosomal RNA". Lineage: Eukaryota; Evosea; Eumycetozoa; Physariida; Physaraceae. The record is from RNAcentral.